GUCCCUGAGCAACGAGGCUCUGCGCUGGACACACGCCCUACGGGAGAAUUACUUCGGAAACGACAGUGGCGCUACUGCGGGAAUUUGUUGAACUCGAAGAAAUUGAAUUCUCUGUCUAAGUGGUUCCCGUGCGCCAUGGACGUGAACGCUCGUGUAUCAACUGCUGGAGAGCAAUUUAAUAAAACUUCGUAAUAAAAAUGAGAUAAAAAGCGAACGACUCGAGACAAGCGUAGAAGUUGUGAAUCAGCCGGAUCGGACCCAGAGCGACAUUAAAUGUCCAUCCACUGGGAUACAAUGAAGGAAGCUAAAUUGAUCAGAAGAAAGUUUUCACGGUCUUUCAAGAGAAACCUACUGCAUCCCUGAAAGCAUCCUCGUUGGUUUUACUACGUUGUUGAAAUCCUAACCUCAUAGAAAUGAACCAAAGACACGUGCAGUUUUCUGGCUUCAGGGAAGAAGAAAUGGAAAUACAACGAAAAGGCAAAAAGACUGUCGGCUUCCCGCUUCCUGAAUUAUUCAAGUCUGGUUGAAUUCCUCCAGCCUGCAUUUGGAUUCUGGAAAUGCGUUGUUAUCUCAGUUUGGAUGCUUCCGGUUAACAAGAGGAAGGUUAUGAAUUUUCUUUACUAUAUCCGUUAUCACCGAACAUGCUUAUAUGUUUCAGUACAAUUAUAGCGGUUUUUAUUUUUUUUAGUACUACCCAAAAAUCAAUAUCUAACUUUUGAUUUAUUUUUUAUUGAGAUCUACGCUUGGAAUAUAUAUAUAUAGGUAAAUACUUGUUUUAUUAAUAUUUUUUUCAUUUGUUAUGUACAUCUGUGGGACAAUGUUGAGUGAUGACGUCGCAAGUGCACGUUAACGCCAUAUAUUAUAACAAGACUAGAAUGACGUUGCACCUUGUUAGUGCAUCGAUGCACUGUGACGAUAACAGUGUAUUAUUUGGUAAUUCCUCUAUGAUGCUGCGGGCGUGGAUCAUGGUGGAAGAUGAAUGACAUUGUUUCAUAGAACUAGGCCUGGUUCCCACUCCAGAUAGUCACUUGCAAUGCAUCGUUGAAGUCCUGGUCUAGUGGCAAAUCUCUCAUGAUGCUGAUGACGAUGAUCCUCGAGUUUAAUGGAAAAUAAUUAUAUGGAUACUUCAAUAUUUCCGUCAUAUAUAACCAGUAGCAAGUACAGGCUACGCGCACAGGACACGGGAAAGGAGUAAAAAUGUUAAAAGUUUGACAUUUUGAGUAGAUAAAAAGUGUAAUUAAAAAUGUAUAGCUUGUCAACGUUAGCAUUGAAUAACUUUCUUUUUUGGAAAAAUAUUGUGUAAAUAUAUUGGUUCUGAAAUUUUUUCCGAAAGUGUAACGAACGAUGUUAAACGGAUGAUAAAAAG
Molecule: long non-coding RNA, 1366 nt
Organism: Cephus cinctus (wheat stem sawfly)
Lineage: Eukaryota; Metazoa; Arthropoda; Insecta; Hymenoptera; Cephidae
Exons: 3
Source: RefSeq, a predicted model, not a curated record